Molecule: ribosomal RNA, 377 nt
Filed under: uncultured bacterium
Lineage: Bacteria
Description: bacterial SSU rRNA
Rfam family: Bacterial small subunit ribosomal RNA
Source: RNAcentral
CAAUGGGCGAAAGCCUGACCCAGCAACGCCGCGUGAGGGAUGAAGUAUUUCGGUAUGUACACCUCGAAAGAAUGGGAAGAAUAAAUGACGGUACCAUUUAUAAGCUCCGGCUAACUACGUGCCAGCAGCCGCGGAAAUACGUAGGGAGAAAGCGUUGUUCGGAUUUACUGGGCGGAAAGGGCGCGUAGGCGGCGCGGUACGUCACUUGUGAAAUCUCUGAGCUUAACUCAGAACGGCCAAGUGAUACUGCUGUUCUAGAGGGCGGAAGUGGCAACCGGAAUACUUGGUGUAGCGGUGAAAUGCGUAGAUAUUAAGAGGAACACCUGAGGCGAAGGCGGGUUGCUGGGCCGACACUGACGCUGAUGCGCGAAAGCCAG